UAGGUUUCGGAGUUAAUCGCUUGUAUUAAUACAAGAGGAAAGUCUGGACUUCACAGGGCAAAGAAGGCAGAUAACGACUGCUGAGAGAAAUCUUAAGGAAAGUGCCACAGAAAAUAAACCGCCUACAUUUAGUAGGUAAGGGUGAAAAGGUAGUGUAAGAGACUACCAGUAAUUUAAGAAAUUAAGUUAGCUAGGUAAACCCCUUCUGAAGCAAGAAUAAGUAGAUAGCGCAAAAGAGGCUGCCCGUCUCUGCUUAAUGGGUAAUUCGCUAGAGUAAAUAAGUAAUUAUUUAAUUAGAUAAAUGAUUAACUAAUACAGAAUCCGGCUUAUACCGAGACCUAUUUA
Molecule: RNase P RNA, 345 nt
Filed under: Leptotrichiaceae bacterium
Lineage: Bacteria; Fusobacteriati; Fusobacteriota; Fusobacteriia; Fusobacteriales; Leptotrichiaceae
Description: RNase P RNA component class A
Rfam family: Bacterial RNase P class A
About the family: Ribonuclease P (RNase P) is a ubiquitous endoribonuclease, found in archaea, bacteria and eukarya as well as chloroplasts and mitochondria.
Source: RNAcentral